AGACGGUGCUCUUUAAACACCAAGCCAGCACUCCAGCCCCUGUUUGGCUCCUUUUUGGAGAAGAAUGUGUCACAUUUGCUGGGCUGUUGUUACUCAGUUUAUGACUUCUCUUUCUGCUGACGAUGAGCUCCUGUGGCCAAGCCUUGCCUUUCUCAUCUCUGCACGCAACGUGUACAGAGCAUCCGUCCUGCACCUGUGGCGACGGCCCUGGGUAUUCUUCCUCAGCAAAUGGCACAGAAGAGUUUCCCCUUGGACACAGCAGUGAUAGCAGGUCUUAACACCAGAGUCCCUUACAAAGUGCACUGAAUGCAUUCUUAUUAACCAUGAGUGACAGAAGAGGGAGCUUGGUCCUCUAGAACUGGAGUUA
Molecule: long non-coding RNA, 367 nt
Organism: Onychomys torridus (southern grasshopper mouse)
Lineage: Eukaryota; Metazoa; Chordata; Mammalia; Rodentia; Cricetidae
Exons: 3
Source: RefSeq, a predicted model, not a curated record